RNAcentral lists this transfer RNA (71 nucleotides) under Trichonephila inaurata madagascariensis. It matches the Rfam family "tRNA". Rfam says of the family: Transfer RNA (tRNA) molecules are approximately 80 nucleotides in length. The record is from Rfam by way of RNAcentral. Lineage: Eukaryota; Metazoa; Arthropoda; Arachnida; Araneae; Nephilidae.
GUCCCUGUAGCGCAAUGGAUAGCGCGUUGAAAUUUAAUCCAAAGGUCGUGGGUUCGAAUCCACCUGGGAUG